ACAGAGGGGGCAAGCGUUGUUCGGAAUUACUGGGUGUAAAGGGUGCGUAGGCGGUUUGGUAAGUCAGAUGUGAAAUCUCGGAGCUCAACUCCGAAACUGCAUUUGAUACUGCCAGGCUAGAGUAUGAAAGAGGAAGAUGGAAUUCUCGGUGUAAGAGUGAAAUCUGCAGAUAUCGAGAGGAACACCAGUAGCGAAGGCGAUCUUCUGGUUCAAUACUGACGCUGAGUGCACGAAAGCUAGGGGAGCAAACGG
This 252-nucleotide ribosomal RNA is filed under the name uncultured prokaryote. RNAcentral describes it as "partial 16S rRNA". It matches the Rfam family "Bacterial small subunit ribosomal RNA", at positions 525 to 775 of the family's 1533-position model. The record is from RNAcentral.